GUUCAACGUUUUCUUAAGUUCCUUGAGCUUUGUAAAUGAUGAGUCGACAUUUGUCUUGAUUUAUAGGGUCUGUUUUUUGUAAAAGUUAUCUAUAAAAAAAAUGUCCUUUUUGGGGAAGAAGCAGAUCGGUUAAGCGCGUAAAUUACGUAAGAUUGAUCAAUAGAUGGCAGGGGUGUCGCCAACUGUCGGGUUCUCUUCUGCUCGUUAUAAGGAUUUCUUCGAAUUGGAGGAUUGUUUAAAGGAAAUGGGGAAUUAUGCUGAAAAAUAUAUAAGAAAUCCGGACACAACUCCGGAUUCUAAAGUCGCUCCCCAAUUCGACUCAAAUAUAGGUUUCCCGAAAGGCAGAAAGACUAGAGUUAUGAUCGCCACAGAGGAAGAAAUGGAGGCUGCUCGUAUUCCUAAAAAUUCACGCGAUUAUUGUGCCCACAAAUAUUUAGAACUGGAAACAUGUAGAGUAAAAGUUGCUCCAUUUUUUCACAAGUGUCACCACGAGAGACACUCAUUGGAAGAGUGUGAAUUUGAUGACUAUGUUUUAAGAAUGAAGGAGUACGAACGCGAACGCAGGCUUCUGAAAAGGCAGAAGAGGAAGUUGCAACAGCAGCAGGCACAAGCUGCAGCGGCUUGAUCAGUCUUUAUAGAUAGCAUAUAAGUCAUCCUUUGUCGUUUGGUUCUUAGAAAACGGUAUACAAAAUUGCGUGGUGGGAAGAAAGAGUUUGUCUAAUUUUUCUUCAAUGGAGCGAAGAGAAACAAAUCGAGCUAAUCGAUUACAGGGCUAAAUAUCAACAGCCGAACAUUAUCC
This is an RNA transcript of Orussus abietinus, 799 nucleotides long. It is a transcript of the gene named NADH dehydrogenase [ubiquinone] 1 beta subcomplex subunit 7, with no coding region annotated. NCBI's taxonomy places the organism in Eukaryota, Metazoa, Arthropoda, Insecta, Hymenoptera, Orussidae. The transcript has 4 exons. The record is from RefSeq and is a predicted model, not a curated record.